RNAcentral lists this long non-coding RNA (911 nucleotides) under Pan troglodytes (chimpanzee). Its description in RNAcentral is "long non-coding RNA NONPTRT008278". The record is from RNAcentral. Lineage: Eukaryota; Metazoa; Chordata; Mammalia; Primates; Hominidae.
GUGAUGUGGAUGCCGCUCUGUACACCUGGCUGGGAGAGGGGAGGGCAGGGAUUACGCUUACCCUCUGGGCUUGCUGGAGGGGUGCAUGUGGCCCCACUGCUGGGGAGCCCCAUAUGGUGAGGUUGGGGUAUUUACCAGGCCUCAGUCUCCGGGGAGGGCCUUCCUGCCCCAGGGUGGGGACUUAGCCCGUCACCAGGACACUCAGGAAGGACAGGGUGUCUGGAGCCGUCGCCAGGAUCUUGCACCUGAGGCCAUGACGGAGCACAGCAGGGCCUCGGAUCCACUGAGCGUGGAUGGCACGGCCGGUGGUCUCGAUGAGCCCGGAGUGGCCUCUGAUGGACUCCCGUCCUCGGAGCCAGGGCCGUGUUCCUUCCAGCAGCUGGAUGAGUCCCCCGUUGUACCCCUGUCCCAUCGGCCCCCAGCCCUGGCCGACCCAGCCUCAUACCAGCCAGCUGUCACUGCUCCGGAGCCAGACGCCAGCCCAAGGCUGGCCGUGGACUUCGCCCUGCCCAAGGAGCUGCCCCUUAUCUCCAGCCAUGUGGACCUGAGCGGGGAUCCGGAGGAGACUGUGGCCCCUGCACAGGUGGCUUUGUCGGUCACCGAGUUUGGACUCAUCGGCAUUGGGGACGUGAACCCCUUCCUGGCCGCCCACCCCACGUGCCCGGCCCCCGGGCUACACUCGGAGCCCCUGUCACACUGUAACGUGAUGACCUGCUGACUCCUGGCCGCGGGCGGCGUAUGCGGCCCAGACUGGACUUAGCGCUGCCGCUGGGCCCGCCUCUGUCAGUCUUCCUGACCCCUUCCCCACCCCCUGGGCCUUGGGGUAGCACCUCCUUCUGCUUCAGAACACGUCAGGACUGGGGUGAGGUGGCUGGGCCGUGAGCCCUCGCCCCUGUCCACACAGAAUGGAC